This 968-nucleotide long non-coding RNA is filed under the name Fragaria vesca (wild strawberry). RNAcentral's name for it is "long non-coding RNA (FVES_LNC005537)". The record is from RNAcentral. Lineage: Eukaryota; Viridiplantae; Streptophyta; Magnoliopsida; Rosales; Rosaceae.
AUAUGUAUGUAUUUACACACGUCCAUACUCCCUAUAUAAAUUCAUGGGUCUAUAUAGGGCUACUACGCUCGCGUCCAACGCUCACGUCACGCCUUAAUGCGGCGCUACACUACGCCAUCAAGGUGGACAGACGGGUGUAUAAAUAUGUGCCAUACCCCUAUUAUUGAAUUAACACUCAUAUAGGCUACUACGCUUACGUNNNNNNNNNNNNNNNNNNNNAUAAAUAUGUGCCCAUACCCCUAUAUGAAUUAAACACUCAUAUAGGGCUAUUACGCUCGCGUCCAACGCUCACGUCACACCAUAAUGCGGCUAUAUGCUACGCCAUUAAGGUGGACAGACACAUAUGGCUAGCUAGCUUUUAUAUACAUACUCUCCUCAAUAUACAUAUUUAUACUCACCGAAAAAUCCCAUUUUUCGGUGACUCUCCAAGAGAAAUAAAAGCGUCAAAAUUAAAUGACGUCAAAACUCCAACAAUUUUAAAUGCUCAACCAAAACCAUAGCAUGCAUAUUAUUUAAAAUAAAAGUCCACUCACAGUAUUAGGCCUAAGCCUUCCAAUGCUCGGCAUACUCCUCGAGCGCUGCCUCCACUAUUCACAAUCUCGAGUCAAUCCCACGUCUGAUGAUAAACAGCAGAAUAAAUCGGUCAAACUAGAUUCCGAAAUAAUCAUUGAUUCGUCUUCUUCUUAAAUUGACUAAGUGUCCUGGGUUGACCAGGAUUUACCGACAUAAAUUAAUAAUCAAUUCCGACUAAACUUCGCAACUAUGACUUAUUCGGAAUGAACCUUAUCCUAGAAUCAAAGUCACCAUCAAUUUCCAUGCCUUAACACAUUAACCAAAAUACUUCCAAAAUUAUUUUAUGAUCCCCUACGAUCAAACAUGCUCACAAACAAAACCAAGAAUUUCCUUCAUUUCCUCUCUACACAACUUCACCCUAAAAUUUACUAAGGGCACCCAAAAAGGGUUUNNNN